CGCUGUCAUGGAUGGUGAAGUAGGGACGGAAGUCGCAGCAGAACCUGAGGGGCUGCAGGCAGCUGUGGGCAGAGAGCAGGAUGGUCUCAAAGCCCAGGCUCCCUUGCAGACUUGUCCAGAGGCAGAGAAGGCGGCCUCAGGCAGUGAAUCUCUCCUGACAGCCUCUCCUUGACACCUGUCUUUCAGAACCUCCUGCCCACUGUGCCUAUUUCCACUGGCUGCAGACAUGUGGGCACCUGCUUCCUCUUCUAGACAAUUCUCCCUCCUUCCUUCCAGAACUGUCCCAAGGGGUACUCAGGAUGAGCGCUGCCUCCCUUGGGCAGUCCCCACAUGGCGCUGGCCAUACACACACACACGUGCACACGUGCACUCACGCAGACACACACGCACACACAUACUCACACACAGAUGCACACAUGCACGUACAUGCACGUGCACACACAGUGAGCUCCUCAAAAGCAGUGUGCAGAACCCUAGGGGGCUCACCUGAACAGGUCCAGCUCGUGGACGCUAGCAAGAACCACUGGGGCUGGCAGCAGGUUCUGAGAGGAGGAGAGUGAAGGUCAGGGCCAAGGGGAGGCUGGCACCCCUUGGGCCCCAAGCAGCCCCUGCCUCACAGCACAGGGGAAGGUGGAGAGCACCCAGCCCUACACCAACACACAGCCUGUGGCUUUGCCUGGGUUUGACAACCCCGCAGGGUGAACCAAGGAAGCAGGUGUGGGACCACCCGGCCCAGGAGCA
This 741-nucleotide long non-coding RNA is filed under the name Homo sapiens (human). RNAcentral's name for it is "HSALNT0279388". Lineage: Eukaryota; Metazoa; Chordata; Mammalia; Primates; Hominidae. The record is from RNAcentral.